UUUAGCUGUUUUUAUUCUUUCAUAACGAUGGAUUUAGUCUGAUCUCAGAAGCUAAGCAAGGUUAGGCCUGGAUAGUACUUGGGGUGGGAGAAAUCUGGGAAUACCAGGCUCCACAUUAGGU
This 121-nucleotide ribosomal RNA is filed under the name Periophthalmus magnuspinnatus. The record is from RNAcentral. Lineage: Eukaryota; Metazoa; Chordata; Actinopteri; Gobiiformes; Gobiidae.